UCGAGAAUCUUCCGCAAUGGGCGCAAGCCUGACGGAGCGAUGCUGCGUGCCGGACGAAGGCCUUCGGGUCGUAAACGGCUGUCACUCGGGACGAAUUUUGACGGUACCGAGAGAGGAAGCCACGGCUAACUACGUGCCAGCAGCCGCGGUAAUACGUAGGUGGCGAGCGUUAUUCGGAAUUAUUGGGCCUAGAGGGUUCGUAGGGGGUAAUGUAAGUCCGGUGUGAAAUCUCGAGGCUCAACCUCGAAACUGCAUUGGAAACUGCAUUACUUGAGUGUCAGAGAGGAAAGCGGAAUUCCUGGUGUAGCGGUGGAAUGCGUAGAUAUCAGGAAGAACACCGACGGCGAAGGCAGCUUUCUGGCUGGCAACUGACCCUGAUGAACGAAAGCUAGGGUAGCGAACAGGAUUAGAUACCCUGGUAGUCCUAGCUGUAAACGUUGUGCACUGGAUGUGGGCGGAUUUGGUCCCGUCUGUGUCUGAGCGAAGGCGUUAAGUGCACCGCCUGGGGACUACGGCCGCAAGGCUAAAACUCAAAGGAAUUGACGGGGGCCCGCACAAGCGGUGGAGCAUGUGGCUCAAUUCGAGGCAACGCGAAGAACCUUACCUGGGUUUGACAUAUACCUGACCGCCGGUGAGAGCCGGUUUCUCUUUGAGCAGGUAUACAGGUGCUGCAUGGCUGUCGACAGCUCGUGCUGUGAAGUGUUCGGUUAAGUCCGGCAACGAGCGCAACCCACGCUGUUAGUUACCAUCAGGUAAUGCUGGGGACUCUAACAGGACUGCCCGUGCUAAGCGGGAGGAAGGCGUGGACGACGUCAAGUCCGCAUGGCCCUUACGCCCAGGGCUGCACACGUGCUACAAUGGCCGGUACAGAGGGUCGCCACUCUGCGAAGAGGAGCUAAUCCCGAAAACCGGCCCCAGUUCGGAUUGGAGUCUGCAACCCGACUCCAUG
Molecule: ribosomal RNA, 949 nt
Filed under: uncultured organism
Description: bacterial SSU rRNA
Rfam family: Bacterial small subunit ribosomal RNA
Source: RNAcentral